AUACGGAGGGUGCGAGCGUUAAUCGGAAUUACUGGACGUAAAGGGUGCGUAGGCGGCUUGAUAAGUCGGAUGUGAAAGCCCCGGGCUUAACCUGGGAAUUGCAUUCGAUACUGUCAGGCUAGAGUAUGUCAGAGGUUGGCGGAAUUCCUGGUGUAGCGGUGAAAUGCGUAGAUAUCAGGAGGAACACCAGUGGCGAAGGCGGCUAACUGGGGCAAUACUGACGCUGAGGCACGAAAGCGUGGGGAGCAAACAGGAUUAGAAACCCGAGUAGUCC
Molecule: ribosomal RNA, 274 nt
Filed under: uncultured bacterium
Lineage: Bacteria
Description: partial 16S ribosomal RNA
Rfam family: Bacterial small subunit ribosomal RNA
Source: RNAcentral